UAUUUAUGAUGCAUUAAAUAGAAGUUCCAGGAUUUGGGGAGUUCUUUUGAUUCUGAGGAAAGGAAACAGUGGCCCAACAGCCAGAGAAGUGACCGUGUCACAGCCCAGAGGAUUCAUCUUUGAAGGGGGAUGGUGGCUGCUCUAGCCUACACCAUAGUGUUUUGGGGUCACGGUUCUCCUCUUGAGGACACAGCAGAGUGGAAAGAGCCCAGGUCUGAGAAGGGGCUAAGACCAGAGGCUAAGAAUCUGUGUAGCCUGGGGAGAGCUGGCUGAAGCCCUCCUGAGCCUUCUGAUUGAGGCACCAUCUAAAAAGCAGGGCUGAGGACUGUGGAGAUCAGGAUACACUGUGGAGCUAAAGGAGUGGGGCUGACCACUCGGGACCCCCAGACGCGCCGCACCCCACUCCCAACCCUGCGCGCCUUCAGGCUGAAGCUGUUCCCUAUGUGCUAACCCCUCAGCUGUGCUUUGCUGCUGCCCAUAUGAUCCCACAAGGCCUCCGGAAUCCGCCACAUUUCCCAAGAGGUCUUCAAAUCCCUGUCCUGGUGCCCCCAGGAGGGGUGCGGCUGCCUCAGAAGCCACCACGGAAUGUGAAACAGACCUGAGCUGGCAGCUGUGGCCUGUUUCAGCCCCAGCAGUGGGCAUGGCUACCAUCUGUAGUGUUUGGGGUGAGAUUUCACUUGAACAAAGGCUUCUGCUGCCAAAAAACAAAAAAGUUGGAAGCCACAGUAUACUGGAGAGAAAAUGGAAUUUGGAGUCAGACCGAGCUCUUUGACUUGCACUGUGUGACCUCAGAUUCCAAGUUCCUGGAUGCCAAGAGACUUGUGUUCCAUUUCUCGAUGUCCCUGCCCCGAGUGCCUCACACAGUGCCACAUUAUCCAGGAGGGGCUGUUGACUGACUGGCACCUUUUUCCUGAAAGGCAGCCUUUGCAACUAUUUUCCAGAACCCAGGGCCUUACUGCAAUCAUCUUAGUUCAUUGUAAGGAAGUUUUCUCUUUGCAUCUGACUAAAUGGCACACUGGAGGACAGAAAAAAAUAAGGGAUUUUUAUACAGCAGAUAAAAAGGAAAAAAGAAAACUUGAUGGAAAGGGUGAGCCUCCAUGCUGACUAGCUCCUUUGGGGCUCAUCGACUUGUUAAUGAAGGACCUGCUAUGCUGUGCUUAGUCGUGUCCGACUCUGCAAUCCCGUGGACUGGAGCACCAGGCUCCUCUGUCCAUGGGGAUUCUCCAGGCGGAUUUUUACCAGCUGAACUCCCAGGGAAGCCGAAGGACCUGCUGUGACUGGAAAAAAAAUUCCUGGUUAUGACUUCCCUGAGGACAUGCAGUCACCAGCAUGGGAAGGACAGGGACCCAGGGACCCCUUUAUCAACUACAGAGUGCGUGCUCAGUUGCUCAGUCAUGUCAGAUUCUUUGCAGCCCCAUGGACUGUCCAUGGGAUUUUCCUGCCAAGAACACUAGAGCAGGUUGCCAUUUCCUCCUCCAGGGGAUCUUCCCGAUCUAGGGAUUGAACCCACACCUCCUGCAUUUCCUGCAUUGGCUGGUGGAUUCUUUUUACCUCUGAGCCACCUAUGAAGUCCCCUAAACAGUCUAUUCAGUAUCAUUGCCUCAGAGAAGCUAGUACCUCAAAGAGGAAAAAAAAAGCAGCGUUGUUUGGAGAAGUGCUGGGGCCAGGAGGGCAUUUCUGUUGACUCUGUGGCGGCUGGUGGGCCGCCACUACCCUGGCUGAAUAAGGGCUGUGCGGUUAGGAAUGAAACAUUUCCUGACAGGAAAAACAAGUCUCUUUGCUCUGGCUCCCAGGGCAGUGCCGUUCAAAGUCUGGCCCCAUAAGCUAUCUUGGUCUACUAUGGGAGACUGAAAUUGCAAGAAACUUUAAAGCUGCAGGUUAAUCUGGGUGAUUGCAUCAGACAUUAAUACUACAACAAAAUGACAAACAGCCUUCUCAAGCUCUUAGACAUUAUUACAGAACUAUCGUCCCUUGGAACUGAAUUCUCAGGAGGGACUGAGUAUCUCACCCACCU
Cervus elaphus (red deer) is the source of this 2014-nucleotide long non-coding RNA. RefSeq lists it as uncharacterized. The transcript has 5 exons. NCBI's taxonomy places the organism in Eukaryota, Metazoa, Chordata, Mammalia, Artiodactyla, Cervidae. The record is from RefSeq and is a predicted model, not a curated record.